UUAGACUUGAAGGCCUAGUGAAGAAAUAUAAGUUAUUUGGUUAGAUAGAGUCAAGUUGCUCUUAUUUAGGGCUUAAGUUAAUAAGGGGUGAAAUUUGUAUAUUAAUAAGGUCAUUAAGCAUUAAAAGAGAUGAACUAAGGUCGAGGCCAGAAAGUUUUAGGUAUGAACCAGGAUUAGAUACCCUGUUACACUAAAAAAUAAUAAUAAUGCAUAACUGGAGUAUUUAUAACUAAUUUGUUUGAAAUUCAAAGAACCUGGCGGUACUUUAGUCUAGUUAGAGGAACCUGUUAUAUAAACGAUAAACCACGUAGAAUCUUUCUUGUUCUUGUACAGCCAGUAUACCUUCAUUGUUAGAUAAUUUAUAUAAGAAUUAUUGAAAUUGAGAAAAUCAAGUAUAUUAGAUCAAGGUGCUGCUAAUGAAUAAGUAUAAAUGGGUUACAAUAUUUUAAAAGAGGCUGAUUAUACUGAGAACUCAGUAUAUGAGGAUGGAUUUAAUUGUAAGUUUAAAUUUAGCAAGGUAAAGUGAUAAUAGCUCUAAAGUGUGUACAUAUUGCCCGUCGCUUUCAUUAAAUCAGAUGAGAUAAGUCGUA
RNAcentral lists this ribosomal RNA (590 nucleotides) under Panulirus longipes longipes. Its description in RNAcentral is "partial 12S ribosomal RNA". The record is from RNAcentral. Lineage: Eukaryota; Metazoa; Arthropoda; Malacostraca; Decapoda; Palinuridae.